This 156-nucleotide ribosomal RNA is filed under the name Triticum aestivum (bread wheat). Its description in RNAcentral is "partial small subunit ribosomal RNA". The record is from RNAcentral. Lineage: Eukaryota; Viridiplantae; Streptophyta; Magnoliopsida; Poales; Poaceae.
AUGAGAUGGAUCAAUACUCUCCUGUCCACUGGCAGCUCUAGAGUCCUGCUGAACGGUCAGUUGGGUGCCCCCGUCAGGGCAAAGAGAGGGUUUCGGCAAGGGGACUCUUUAUCCCCGUAUCUCUUCAUUCUUGUAGCAGAUGUGCUUCAGAGAAUG